Molecule: ribosomal RNA, 261 nt
Filed under: uncultured bacterium
Lineage: Bacteria
Description: partial 16S ribosomal RNA
Rfam family: Bacterial small subunit ribosomal RNA
Source: RNAcentral
UUGGCGGACGGGUGAGUAACGCGUGGGGAACCUGCCCUGUACAGGGGGAGUAACACUUAGAAAUAGGUGCUAAUACCGCAUAAGCGCACAGUAUCGCAUGAUACAGUGUGAAAAACUACCGGUGGUACAGGAUGGACCCGCGUCUGAUUAGCUGGUUGGCGGGGUAACGGCCCACCAAGGCGACGAUCAGUAGCCGGCCUGAGAGGGUGAACGGCCACAUUGGGACUGAGACACGGCCCAAACUCCUACGGAAGGCAGCAG